GCAAGUCGAACGAAGCACUUAAGCCUGAUUCUUCGGAUGAAGGUUUUUGCGACUGAGUGGCGGACGGGUGAGUAACGCGUGGGUAACCUGCCUCAUACAGGGGGAUAACAGUUAGAAAUGACUGCUAAUACCGCAUAAGACCACGGAGCCGCAUGGCUCAGUGGGAAAAACUCCGGUGGUAUGAGAUGGACCCGCGUCUGAUUAGGUAGUUGGUGGGGUAACGGCCUACCAAGCCAACGAUCAGUAGCCGACCUGAGAGGGUGACCGGCCACAUUGGGACUGAGACACGGCCCAAACUCCUACGGGAGGCAGCAGUGGGGAAUAUUGCACAAUGGGGGAAACCCUGAUGCAGCGACGCCGCGUGAGCGAAGAAGUAUUUCGGUAUGUAAAGCUCUAUCAGCAGGGAAGAAAAUGACGGUACCUGACUAAGAAGCACCGGCUAAAUACGUGCCAGCAGCCGCGGUAAUACGUAUGGUGCAAGCGUUAUCCGGAUUUACUGGGUGUAAAGGGAGCGUAGACGGCUGUGUAAGUCUGAAGUGAAAGCCCGGGGCUCAACCCCGGGACUGCUUUGGAAACUAUGCAGCUAGAGUGUCGGAGAGGUAAGUGGAAUUCCCAGUGUAGCGGUGAAAUGCGUAGAUAUUGGGAGGAACACCAGUGGCGAAGGCGGCUUACUGGACGAUGACUGACGUUGAGGCUCGAAAGCGUGGGGAGCAAACAGGAUUAGAUACCCUGGUAGUCCACGCCGUAAACGAUGACUACUAGGUGUCGGGGAGCAAAGCUCUUCGGUGCCGCAGCAAACGCAAUAAGUAGUCCACCUGGGGAGUACGUUCGCAAGAAUGAAACUCAAAGGAAUUGACGGGGACCCGCACAAGCGGUG
Molecule: ribosomal RNA, 877 nt
Filed under: uncultured bacterium
Lineage: Bacteria
Description: bacterial SSU rRNA
Rfam family: Bacterial small subunit ribosomal RNA
Source: RNAcentral